GAUGAACGCUGGCGGCGUGCCUAAUACAUGCAGGUCGAGCGAACAGACGAGGAGCUUGCUCCUUCGACGUUAGCGGCGGACGGGUGAGUAACACGUAGGUAACCUACCUAUAAGACUGGGAUAACUUCGGGAAACCGGAGCUAAUACCGGAUAAUAUUUCGAACCGCAUGGUUCGAUAGUGAAAGAUGGCUUUGCUAUCACUUAUAGAUGGACCUGCGCCGUAUUAGCUAGUUGGUAAGGUAACGGCUUACCAAGGCAACGAUACGUAGCCGACCUGAGAGGGUGAUCGGCCACACUGGAACUGAGACACGGUCCAGACUCCUACGGGAGGCAGCAGUAGGGAAUCUUCCGCAAUGGGCGAAAGCCUGACGGAGCAACGCCGCGUGAGUGAUGAAGGUCUUCGGAUCGUAAAACUCUGUUAUUAGGGAAGAACAAACGUGUAAGUAACUGUGCACGUCUUGACGGUACCUAAUCAGAAAGCCACGGCUAACUACGUG
RNAcentral lists this ribosomal RNA (497 nucleotides) under uncultured bacterium. RNAcentral describes it as "partial 16S ribosomal RNA". It matches the Rfam family "Bacterial small subunit ribosomal RNA", at positions 28 to 507 of the family's 1533-position model. The record is from RNAcentral.